This 97-nucleotide transfer RNA is filed under the name Methanobacteriota archaeon. RNAcentral's name for it is "Euryarchaeota archaeon (sediment metagenome) tRNA-Arg". It matches the Rfam family "tRNA". From Rfam's summary of the family: Transfer RNA (tRNA) molecules are approximately 80 nucleotides in length. Their secondary structure includes four short double-helical elements and three loops (D, anti-codon, and T loops). Lineage: Archaea; Methanobacteriati; Methanobacteriota. The record is from RNAcentral.
GGGCCGGUGGCUUAGUCUGGAUAUAGCACUGGCCUUCUAAGCCAGUGGUCUCGGGUUCGAAAGCGCCCAGAGGGCGCCGAAUAUCCCGACCGGCCCG